This 1041-nucleotide ribosomal RNA is filed under the name Cosmospora sp. 4 PC-2011. Its description in RNAcentral is "SSU rRNA". It matches the Rfam family "Eukaryotic small subunit ribosomal RNA", at positions 53 to 1109 of the family's 1831-position model. The record is from RNAcentral. Lineage: Eukaryota; Fungi; Ascomycota; Sordariomycetes; Hypocreales; Nectriaceae.
GCUGUCUAGUUAGCAAUUAUACCGCGAAACUGCGAAUGGCUCAUUAUAUAAGUUAUCGUUUAUUUGAUAGUACCUUACUACUUGGAUAACCGUGGUAAUUCUAGAGCUAAUACAUGCUAAAAAUCCCGACUUCGGAAGGGAUGUAUUUAUUAGAUUAAAAACCAAUGCCCUUCGGGGCUCCUUGGUGAUUCAUGAUAACUUCUCGAAUCGCAUGGCCUUGUGCCGGCGAUGGUUCAUUCAAAUUUCUUCCCUAUCAACUUUCGAUGUUUGGGUAUUGGCCAAACAUGGUUGCAACGGGUAACGGAGGGUUAGGGCUCGACCCCGGAGAAGGAGCCUGAGAAACGGCUACUACAUCCAAGGAAGGCAGCAGGCGCGCAAAUUACCCAAUCCCGACACGGGGAGGUAGUGACAAUAAAUACUGAUACAGGGCUCUUUUGGGUCUUGUAAUUGGAAUGAGUACAAUUUAAAUCCCUUAACGAGGAACAAUUGGAGGGCAAGUCUGGUGCCAGCAGCCGCGGUAAUUCCAGCUCCAAUAGCGUAUAUUAAAGUUGUUGUGGUUAAAAAGCUCGUAGUUGAACCUUGGGCCUGGCUGGCCGGUCCGCCUCACCGCGUGUACUGGUCCGGCCGGGCCUUUCCCUCUGUGGAACCCCAUGCCCUUCACUGGGUGUGGCGGGGAAACAGGACUUUUACUUUGAAAAAAUUAGAGUGCUCCAGGCAGGCCUAUGCUCGAAUACAUUAGCAUGGAAUAAUAGAAUAGGACGUGUGGUUCUAUUUUGUUGGUUUCUAGGACCGCCGUAAUGAUUAAUAGGGACAGUCGGGGGCAUCAGUAUUCAACUGUCAGAGGUGAAAUUCUUGGAUUUGUUGAAGACUAACUACUGCGAAAGCAUUUGCCAAGGAUGUUUUCAUUAAUCAGGAACGAAAGUUAGGGGAUCGAAGACGAUCAGAUACCGUCGUAGUCUUAACCAUAAACUAUGCCGACUAGGGAUCGGACGAUGUUAUUUUUUGACUCGUUCGGCACCUUACGAGAAAUCAAAGUGCUGG